CUCCCAAAGUGAUAGGAUUACAUGUAUGAGCCACCGCACCUGGCCUGAUCAUGGUGUUGAAAGUAGAUUCCAAACGAUCAAGUCUCUAGAAGCUCCUUAUUAAUUAUAAAUACGUUUGAUACCUGGGUGAAACUUAUCCUUCAAUUAGUGACAUAAGGUUGAUGUUUCUUAAAUAUUUUAGGUAUCAACUACACACAAAUAUCAUUAGACCACACACGCACAAAUAUGACGUUUAAAUGUCUAUGGCCUAUAAAUUGACAGGCAGUUUGACAUGGAAAAGCCAAAAUGUUUAAUUUAGGUCCCUGUCUCUACCUUAAAUUGAGCCAUCUCCUUAUGGCUGUUUAAAGCACUUGAAUAUGAUGAUUUUUUCUGUUUUCUUCUACAGAUAUUUAGUGCUGUUCCACCAGAUAGUCAAUGGGGGCACAAUACCAGCAAGUUCCAGUCAGGAUUCAGCUGGUGAAAGGGCAAUUAUGUUAAGCGUAGGCCACAAAGUGAUCUGGGAAGUGUUUAAUCAACAAGUGGUCCCAGUAUAAUAACUGGUGACUGGGUGGCCUUGGAACUGAGUUUUUAGCACAUUGGCUGGGGGACUGAAAGUGAGUCCCAGUUCACCCCACCCAUACAGAGAUCUCUUGCUCAUUUCAGACCUGCUCAUUGGAGUAGCUGCUUGCUACCAAGAGCCAGAAAAAAGAAGCCCAAGACUUGUUUCUUGCCCUCUUGAUCUCUGACAUCAUGCUCUAAAAUUAUGAAGCAAAAUGAUACUUUCUGUAGCAUUGUCUAACUUUGGGAGAGAUGAGACUCUUGCUAUGGAGGAAGCAUGGGAAGAUGAGAAAGAUGGUGGGUGCUGAUAGGGCCUGGAAUUUGGUGUGGGCAGGUUUUGAGUAACAAGAAGGGAUAACAUCACCUAGCCUUCUGUGCUGUCAGCCAGCCUGGGUUUCUGACCAUUCCCAGUAUCCCCAGGUUAUAAGAAGGCAGUCGCUACAAAAACCCAUGUAAAAAUAUUUAUCAAUGUAUUUAUCAGUAUUGGCUGCAGGAAACUAGACUACAUUAAUCAGGGUGAAUUCAGCUCUAGGAGAUGCUUUCAUUGACAUUUCAGGGAUAAAUAACUGACAUGGCCGGAACCCAAAUUCCCCUGGGGCCUUUGUUAACCAAAUGAGCACAGGUUCUGUCCUGUCAGGAGCUUCUGCAGCCUUGGCUAGACCAGACAGGGAUCCAUUCCAGGCUCUAGCCCCUAGCUGUGUCCUCCAGAAUCCAUAAGCCUGUCAGUGGACCUGGGGCCCCAGCGCUUUCAUGCUUUCACAACCAGCACCCCUCUUUGCCUUGGGUUUUGGGCUACAAAACAGCCAAAACUAAACAGUCCAGGACCACUCAGACAUGGCCUUCCCAGUGGCCUCUCUUCUCAGGAAACUGUCAGUCUCAGAGCCCACUCUGAGCUUUGCAGCCCCUGGGCAACAGAAGGUUACAGGAGGAUUAUCAAAGGAUUAGGGGGCUCUGCUGAGUGAGCAUGUACAGGGUGUUUCUGCCAGAGUGAUUUUUCUGAAACAGUCCUGAUCAUGCCACCCCUCUAUAACUCCAUGUCUCCUACAGCUGUGUUUGAAAAGUGUCACCCAACCAUCCCCUGCAUCAAACUCACCCUGGGAAGGGAGGGAUUAUUAACAUGCAGACUCCUGGGUCCACUCUCUGGCCAUUGAAUCUGAAUUUCUGCAUGUAGGGUUCAGGAGCCUACAGUAAAAAAACCUUGUGAUUUUAUGUUCAUGAAAGUGUAAGAGCCAAGGUACACCACAGGAUAAAGUCCAAAUGGCUUAACAUGGUGUACAAGGUGCACCAGCACAUAGCUUAACCUGUUUCUAUCUUCCCUGGAAGCACCUACCAAACCCACAUCUCCCCACUUCUAGCCAUACUGAUACAUCUUGGAGAACUUGCCAGGGUCUCUCUAUCACUCCCAUGCUACCCCCAUUCUUAGUGUACUCUCUCUACCAUUUCCCCCCACCCUUACUCUUCCCCCUUGUUAUUCUUUUAGUCUUCUUAACAAUGAGUUUAGUGAUCAUCUCCUUUGGAUCAAGCAUGCCUCUACUUCCUCCCUCUUAGUGAAACUCACCCUGAAUCAUAACACUGGGUAUCUGCCUUUCUCCCUAUUGGACAUUGAGCCCUGCAAGACUGGGAACUGUGUCUUGUCCUUGGUUUCUCCGUGCUUACUAUGCUUCUUGACCCAUAGUAGGGGCUCAGAAACAGUUGAGAGCUAACAAAGGUCUUCAGUUAGAGAUAUCAGAGCUUUGAGUCUAUUUGGGUUGAGCACGUCUUCUUAACAAAACCUGAAUAUUGAUGGUUUUUAAAUUCUGGUCUCUAAAGGACAAUAAGAUUAAUAAAGAAGAAAUAAACCCAAGAUAUGAGAUUAACUGUGUACAUUUAACUAAAGAUUAAGUUAGGUAUAACAUACGGAACAAAUUACAAAUAGAGGUACCACCACAGUGUGGCCCUGUUCUAACUCUGCAGAGCCACCCACCUGAGGCUGGGGUUGGACUGGUGAGAGUGGCAGAUGGGUGGGCUACCACUGGGAGUGGGGGAACCCAGGACCUGAAACUAAAACAUGUACCUCACCCCAGGACUUUCAAGGAGAAAGGAGAGAGGUCUGAGUGGGCAUUUGUCGGUGUACUAAGGGUCAGUGCUCCUAAGAUCAAGUAACAACCAUACCAAGUCUUAAAGGUAGGAAUUAGGGUAGAGGCCACAAACAACACCAUCAGUGAGGGUCAGGGGUCAGACAAAAACUGGGCCAAGCAUGGGGAAGAGUUUGGGAAAGGUAUAGCUGGUAUGCUCCCAUCAGUUCUUGGGAGGCUUGGCAGGCUCUGCCAUGAGGCUUUAUAAUGAAGGCCUUGUUUUGGGCUGUCAACCAGAGGGAAGUUGUGGGUGCUGGUGAGUGUUCAUGGCAACAGAUACCUGUGGAAGGGUGGCACGUGGGCAUGGUAGGCAGGAAGUCCUUGAUAAGAUUCUUCCCAGCCUCCUCUCUCUGCUAUUAACCAAGGCUUUUGUGGCUUAAAAACAGGCCAGCACCCCUCCCUCUGCUCUGGUCAACCAUAUGUAGCCCCCUUUUCAUCUCUUGCUCUCCCAAAAUGAACUCAGAUCAUGAAAAGGUGCACCCAUGAGUUUGCACAUUUGAAACUUUAUUAACACCCCUGAAGUUCUUUCUUUUUGCAGAGGCCUCUGAUAGAAGAUGCAAUUUCCCUAAACAGCCAGCUCCUGUUACUUUGGCAGACCUUUCAACCUUAGCCUGACAAGAAGCUUGUGUCCGCCUCCCUGCAUUAACUGAGUCUUUUUUCAGAAUCCCAGGGUGUGUCAGCAGCAGUGUGUGUAUUCCAAAUGGCUCACUGUGCAUGUUUCUCUAGCUUUCUUACAUCCUUUUGUUUUAUUAUUUCCAGCUUGGCCCGUAUUUGCCAUUUUUUUCCACUUAAUCAAAAGGUCGAAUGAAAGAAUGUUUAUUCAUCAGAUUUCCAUGGAACCAUGCCAAUAGGGAGUAUCAUGAAGGCGAGUUGUCCUGGCUCCCCACCUCCAUCCUGGCCCUGCUGCUCUCUGCUUCGCUGUGUAUGCACAACCCCAUGGGUGCCUGCCUCCAGGUGGGAAUGGCCACUCUCCGGCUCUCCGCAUAUGGCUUCAGCAUUGUUUCAACCCCCUUCUCCAUCCUACCUUGCUGUUACAGUUCCAAGAUUUGUUUCUCACUAGCGUUUUAGGCCCUGCAACCACACUGUGUUUUUGAGAGAGAGUCUGACAUGUAUACGCAGUACAUGCCAUUUGGCCUUUGCUUGAUACAUGUCUGCUUCUCUGCUGUUCUUUUUAAUUGAAAGGGAAAGAGGUAUGUAUACGAGCUGGAGCAGGACUGGGGCCGUUAAAACUUGAGCCUAGUCCUGGCUCUGGCAUUGAGUUUCCCGCUGACCUCAGGCAAGUUCCCUAAACCUUGGCUUUUUUACUGGCUUUAAUGAGUAGUCCGGCUGUUUCUUGGAAAACAUGUUAAAUAUGUUGAAAAUGCUAAAUAUUGAAAAUACUUUCUCAGCUGCAUCUUUUGGCAAAUUCCAGAUUCCUUUCUAUCCCUCUUUGGUUUUGGAAGGUCCAAGGUCAGAUAUCCUAGUUUCCCUCUGCCUAAGCCUCUUCAGUUAGCUGGCCCAGUUUUCAUGGAAAUAGGAAUAUGAGGCAUAGACAUUCAUUAACUGUAGCUGUUAAAAUUCCCAAGCAAAUCCAAGUAGAAUGUGGUUAUGAAAGCCAAGGCCUGUUGCCAAAGAAAGAUGUAUGUGUGUGUGUGUGUGUGCAUGCACACGCGUGCGUGCAUUGUGGGAUAUGUGCUUGUUAUAUAACUUCUGAUCCUUGAUCCCUGGAUGUUAUCCAGUGAGUAGCUGGUUGGAUUUGGGGCUUAACAUGGCUUGGGAGCUGUUUGGAGCCUUGGUGGGAACUAGAUGACUCUGUGUUGUCUCAAUCCUGCUGUGUAAAUAGUCUCUUCUCCUGAUUCAUCUGCCACAGCCCAGCUGCUUUUCGGCUCCAGUGAUCCUGCUUACUGAGUCUCCCAGAGACAGAGAUCUGAAUGGUCGGUGAGGAGCCCGUCCCAGGCUGGCAGGAAGGAUUCUGGGCACUCUGGGGACAUCUUUCAUGUCCUGUACCAGCUCCAUAGACAUUUAGCUGAGGGAACGAUCAUGAAUGUUUGGAGCUGAGCCCUCAGGCUCCUGUUGGUUUAGGUGGAACUUGAUGCUGUACCUAUAAGACAUCUUGUUACAUGAAGUGCGGCUGAUGGGAGAAGCAGAAGGAGUCUGGCUCUGUCACCCAAGCUAGAGUGCAGUG
Cercocebus atys (sooty mangabey) is the source of this 4815-nucleotide long non-coding RNA. RefSeq lists it as uncharacterized. The record is from RefSeq and is a predicted model, not a curated record. Lineage: Eukaryota; Metazoa; Chordata; Mammalia; Primates; Cercopithecidae. The transcript has 3 exons.